GUGUUUGCAUGAGGAAAAUGUGUUAACAAUACUGACAUAGAUGCACAAACAUGAAUAGAUUGAAAAGAGCACCCGAGGAAGCAUUCAAGGCUGUUUUCUGCCACAUAAUCUCUGGUUGCCAAUGGACAAUCACUUUAAAUGGAAUCACCGUCGCCAUGACAGCUCAAGAAUGUCAACAAUAUUAUAGGGGGCUUGGGCUCAGCUUCCCUCGGCUUACUGAGAAGAAGAAAAUACCGCGUAAGGUCUCCCCCUUUGUUCUCCACAUCAAGUCCCAGUCCCAGGAUGACUUGCACAUCUCGAUCCACGAAGGGUAGAAAGUGCUCAUGCCACCGUGCCACAGAUGAAGUCCUCGGGGACGGUCUGCUUCCUGGCUGCAUUGUCCGAGGAGAGCAUCCUGUUUAGUCCAGCUGGACGAGCUGCAGAAGAAUGGCUGGCAACACCGACAAUGAUGGAUGAAAAAUUAUUGAAUUUUA
Perca flavescens (yellow perch) is the source of this 473-nucleotide long non-coding RNA. RefSeq lists it as uncharacterized. The record is from RefSeq and is a predicted model, not a curated record. NCBI's taxonomy places the organism in Eukaryota, Metazoa, Chordata, Actinopteri, Perciformes, Percidae. The transcript has 3 exons.